GAAGCGAUAUUUUGGCAGUGAAAACUUGGACGAUGAGAAGGCACAGCGAUUUGUGAAAGCUGUGGAGGAAUUCAUGCGUCUGUUGGGUGUGUUCGCAGUGGGAGAUACUAUUCCUUGGUUGAGAUGGCUUGAUUUUGGAGGCCAUGAGAAGGCAAUGAAAGAAAUUGCCAAAGAAAUAGACAGUAUUUUAGGUGAGGAGUUAGAGGAACAUAGACAAAAGAAGGGUUUGGGUGAGAAGGUUGAUGAAGUUCAAGAUUUCAUGGAUGUCAUGAUUUCCUUGUUUGAUGGAAAAACUAUUGAUGGGAUUGAUGCAGAUACCUUGAUCAAAUCCACUGUGCUGGUAUGUAUAUGUUUAAUUUACACAUUACAGUCCUUUCGAGAUGUUAAACUUCAACAAAAUUAUCCAUACCAAUAUAACAGUUCUACGAUCAGAUUUUAUAUAUUUUCCUUCAUUACUUUUGGAAUAAAAAUACAUAUUUUACUUCGUCAGUUUAUCAUAAGUGGUAUGAAAACUGAUGUUAAAAUAUAAGUUGUGACACUUUAGUUGAUGAUGUAUAACCAUUACAAACAUCAACUUAUUUUCUCACACAACCAAGUUUUUUUGUUGGCUGGUGUCUUGUGUUUUAGUAAUCAAUGGAACACUCUUAAUUUAUUUUCUACUUUUCUACUCAGAUUUGGUUUUUGAGAAGAAAAAAAAAACUUUUAAAUUCUACACCAGUAUAGAAAUUUUUACCUUUUACAUCUUACAAAUAUAUAAUGGUAUUAUACAAUUGAUGCAGGUAUUUCCUAGAAAAUAAAUAAAAGUAAUUUCCUUAGUUUCACUAAUAUAUUUCUUUUGGAUGACUUAUGUGAUUUGCAGACAGUGAUUUUAGGAGGAACUGACACAACUAAUAUUGUUCUUACAUGGGCAAUAUCUUUGAUAUUGAGAAAUCCUUCUGUACUGGAAAAAGCUAAAACCGAACUAGACAUUCAAAUUGGGAAAGAAAAUCUGGUGACUGAGUCGGAUAUAAGUAAGUUAACAUAUCUUCAAGCCAUAGUCAAAGAAACUAUGAGAUUGUAUCCUCCUGCUCCUCUUUCGGGACCUCGUGAAUUCACAGAGAAUUGUACUUUAAGUGGUUAUAACAUAGAAAAGGGAAGUCGUCUAAUUACAAAUCUUUGGAAGAUUCAAACAGAUAGCAAUGUUUGGGAAGAGCCGUUGGAAUUCAAACCAGAAAGGUUUCUAACAACUCACAAAGAUGUUGAUAUCAAAGGUAAACAUUUUGAGUUAUUACCAUUUGGAAGUGGUAGAAGAAUGUGUCCAGGAGUAUCCUUUGGCCUUCAAAUGGUGCAUUUUAUUCUUGCUACUUUUUUACAUUCUUUUGAAAUUCUAAGUGCAUCACCUGAUCCUAUUGAUAUGAGUGAAACCUUUGGAUUAGUCAACACCAAAACCACUCCACUUGAGAUUCUUAUUAAACCACAUCUAUCUUUUACUUGUUAUCAAAACCUCUAAUCCUUGUGUCAACUACAUGAUCACAUUGGAUUUUUCUUCCAAGUAAUUUUCUUUCUAUAGUUUGUUCAAAGUACUUGUUGUUAUCUUUAUCGUUUGUGUGAUAAAUUAUUUCAAAAUGAUGUAUACUUAUUAUCUUUGUAUUUCUGUUCAUAAUACAUUUGUGGCUUGUUUAUGUAAUUUCAGCUCUUUUUCUCAUAAACCAUUGUGCUAUCAAAAAUUUGGGUUAAAUUAAAUAAAAAAUAAAAAUAAUUCUUCCAUAUGAAAAAAAAAAAUAGACAAAAAAUAGUAACGAAAGAGUUAUUUAUAGUUUAAAAGGAAUCGAUGAAAGAAAUUUUAUAUUAAAAAGUGUUCUUUUAUGUUAUGUUUUGAUUACGUAAUUUAGAAAAAUAAUUUAUUUAUUUAAAAAAUUUAAAAUUUUUUAGAUUUAACUAUACAUUUGAUUCUUAUAUUUACAUUUGAUUCUCGACAAAUAUUGACUAAUAUGUCGGUAAAAUUUAUUAAUAACUUUCUUUUUUAAAAUUGUUGAUCAUGAUAAUCCGUCAAUAAAUUCAAAAUUUUCUUUUAUGGUUUGUUAUAGCAUACUCAUUACAUUAGAUCUUAUAUCAAAAACAUUUUCUUUCUUUCUUUUGCAUUUUAAAAUAUGUAAAAGUAUUAUAAAUUUUUACUAUUACAAAAGUAAGUGACAAUAUUCUAACAUUAGUUUAUAGUCUUUCAAGGAAUUUAAAUAUGAACACACUUUCUCGAGUUUUCGAAAUGAAUAGUAAAAAGAAUGAAUAAUAUCAUACGCAUAAAGUUCAAUCUUGAGUUGGCGUCCUUUUAAGUAUGACGCAAAGCUUUUAAGUCAUGAAUCAUGAAAUCAUUACACAAGAUAUUCUUAUUAAAACACGUCUAUACGUAGAUUAUGACCAAAUUAAUUACAUUGCACUCUUUAUUAAUUAAUUACAUGGUAUUGAAUGAAAAAAAGUUGAAUUAUUUACAAUAAAAAUUCAACUGUAAUAUUUCAUAAUUUAGUUUUACAAAACCGAAUUUUCAAAAUUAUAGUUCAGUUAAUUAUUUAUUAUUUUAAAAUUAAUUUUUUUAUACUUUUUACUUAUUUAAAAGUCUUUAAAAUUACAAUUCAAUUUUGCUACUACUAAUUUUACCAUACUUUGUUUAGAAUUGAUUGGUGGAAUUCGAUUGACUUUCUAUUGGAGUUGACUUGUAGAAUUUAAUAAAUAUUUUAUAAGAGCUAACACAGUUGAAUUUCAAUUGAGAUUAACUUGACCAAGUUUUGGUUAUGCCCAAAUCGAUCGAAUUUCAUCAAUUCUUGUCCAAGAUUGACUUAACCAGAUUCAAUCGAUUUUCAGCCAGGACCAUCCAACCAUUUGUGGUUGUCCCACCAAAUUCCAGUGAUUUUCAACAAGGCCUGAUUCAAUCGAAUUCAACGAAUUUUGACCGAGACCAAAUCAAUUAAGUUUCAGUCAUGGACAUCUUAGCUGAAUUUCGCCAAGGAAAAUUAGACUAAAUUUGGUCAAUUUUCAAUCAGGAUCGCCUAGAUCGAGUUUCAGAUGUGGUAGUUUCGAUCAAAUUCGGUAGAUUUUCGACUAGGGUUGACUCAGUCAAAUUUCGGUUGAGACCGACUUUAUUGAGUUUUUUUUAUGACUUCUCGACCUAAUUAAGUUAAUUUUGGGUUCGAACUGACUUGAUUGAUUUUUGACCGAAACAACACCUUUUGAAUUUGAUCAAAUUUCGGUCUCGACCUAUUUCGAUUAAGUAAAGACAAAUAUUUUUUAUCUACUUAGUUAAUUUUUAUUUUUUUCACGGUUUUUAAAUAAUAGUUCAGUUCAAUGGAUGUUUACAUAUUUAUAAGCAUAUAUAGUUUAUAGUUUCUCAUUUUUUUUUGUAAAGAAAAGCAUUGUGUCAAUAAGCUAAUUAAUUUACUUUUAAUUCAUAAAAAAUAAUAUAAGUGGUUUAGUUUCUUAUCUCCAUGUAUUUAUUUAAACUUUAUAUUCAUAAUAAUUAGAUUUUUAAUAAUAGGUAUAGUUUGUGUGUAUUUUGUAAAGUGUAUUUUUUAUUAUAAAUUUCCUGCUUUGUAUUUUUUUUAUUGUUUUGACUUUUUAAUAACUUUUCAUAUAACAAAUUAAAGGUAGGCUUUUGAGAUGUUAAGAUGUGAAAAAUUAUAGUAAUUCCUAACAAAUUUUUUUAAUAUAAAAAUGUAUAAUUAAUUUAUAAAUUUAUCUAAAUUGAUAUCUAAUAUUAGUUUCCAAAAUUUUAAUUUAGUUUCCAACUUCUCUAAUUUAAUUAUAAGAUCUCCGAAGAAAAAACGUUUCAUCAAUAAGCAUCAUCGAUUUAAGAUAUAAAUCCUUGAUAUUUCGGUAUAAGAUAUUUACUUUAUUAACAAGUUGAUAUUAGAUUCGCGCUCUUUAUAUAAGCCAUCGAAUUUAGAUUUUGAAUAUAAAAAGACUUAAUAGGAAUAAGAGGUUUUGCUUUUACAGAAAUUAAUUAUUAGUUAAUGAGUAUAUAAAUUGUUAAUUAUUACUUGAAGUAUCUUUAAUAUCUUAAGAAAACGAUAUUUACUUCAACUUCUUUUAAAGGUGAGAGAUAAGGUUGGGUGUUGAAAUAUUUUUCUUAAGUAAAUUCAGCAUCACCCACUAACCUAUAAUAAUUAUAUAUUCAACUUCUACUAAUUUUUUUUAUCACUACCAGAAACUUCAUAUAUAGUACUUUUAAAAUGAAUUAUUUGGUUUGGACUAGUUGGUAACGAGUAAAUUUAAGUUAACUCACUUGUUAAUAAUUUAUAUUAGAAUCUUGAAUAGAUAUAUUUACGUUAAGAAGAUUUAGAUUUAAGGUUUUCACUUUUUCUAAUAUAGAUUAAAAUCUACGAGUGAAUUGGUGAGUCAAUUAAAUCAUUACACUGGUUUAACUCAGAUAAAUCAAGUCCUUAAUGGGUAUGGUUCAUUUUGAUUAGUGUCAAAAAUUAUAAUUUCUUUAAAACUCAAUCAUGUGAGGUUUCCCUUAGAGUUUAACUCAGUUUUAUAACACUAACUUAAGUUUAGGAUCAUCGCUAAAAGAUUUAGCACGUCUAAACAAAGACCACUUAACCUACCCAAAUUAAUAAUUCAAUAAUUAACAUCAACUUUCUAUACCAAACAAAAAUGUAGCACUUCACUUAGUUAUCAACUUCGCCUUUUCCUCAUCACUGUAGCAAUGAAUGCUCUAUUUAAGGGAAGCCUCCUACUCAACAACAACAUACAACCUUAACAAAAGCUCAAAUGGAUUUUGUUCUAAAUUACCUGAAUUCCACUACCGUUGGACUUCUGUCUCUAAUUCUCUUCUGUUUAUUUCUGUAUAAUCCCUUCAAAUUUCGACAAGGUAAAGAGGCUCCCAGAGUUGCAGGAGCAUGGCCAAUACUUGGUCACCUUCCAUUGUUGAGUCGUUCAAAGACACCCCAUAGAACUUUGGGUGAUUUGGCUGAAAAAUAUGGACCCAUCUUCACCAUCCAACUUGGUUCAAAAAAGACUUUGGUAAUCAACAACUGGGAAAUAGCAAAGGAAUGCUUCACCACAAACGACACGGCGGUUUCCUCUCGCCCCAAGCUUCUUGCCAUGGAACUCAUGGGCUACAACAACGCCGUGUUUGGCUUUGCACCCUAUGGUCCCUAUUGGCGCGAGCUACGAAAGAUUACAACUUUAGAGAUCCUUUCCUCUCGUCGAGUGGAACAACUGCAGCAUGUUCGAGUCUCAGAACUUCAAAGCUCGAUCAAAGAGAUGUAUAAUCUUUGGUGUAGCCAAAAGGGUGAGUCUGGCUAUGCCUUAGUGGACCUGAAACAAUGGUUUUCUCGCCUGGCUUUCAACAUGGUCCUUCGCAUGGUCGUUGGGAAGAGAUAUUUUGGCGGUGAAAACUUGGACGAUGAGAAGGCACAGCGAUGUGUGAAAGCUGUGGAGGAAUUCCUGCGUCUGUUGGGUGUGUUCGCAGUGGGAGAUGCUAUUCCUUGGUUGAGAUGGCUUGAUUUUGGAGGCGUUGAGAAGGCAAUGAAAGAAACUGCCAAAGAAUUGGACAGUAUUUUAGGUGAGGAGUUAGAGGAACACAGACAAAAGAAGGGUUUGGGUGAGAAGGUUGAUGAAUUUCAAGAUUUCAUGGAUGUCAUGAUUUCCUUGUUUGAUGGAAAAACAAUUGAUGGGUUUGAUGCAGAUACCAUGAUCAAAUCCACUGUACUGGUAUGUAUAUGUUUAAUUUACAUAUUUCAGUCCUUUCGAGAUGUGAAACUUCAACAAAAUUAUCCAUACAAAUAUAACAUAGUUCUGCAAUCAGAUUUUAUAUAUUUUCCUAAAUAAUUUUAGAAAUUAAAAUACAUA
This 5823-nucleotide long non-coding RNA is filed under the name Vigna radiata. RNAcentral's name for it is "long non-coding RNA (VRAD_LNC000045)". Lineage: Eukaryota; Viridiplantae; Streptophyta; Magnoliopsida; Fabales; Fabaceae. The record is from RNAcentral.